Molecule: long non-coding RNA, 1738 nt
Organism: Brachypodium distachyon (stiff brome)
Lineage: Eukaryota; Viridiplantae; Streptophyta; Magnoliopsida; Poales; Poaceae
Exons: 6
Source: RefSeq, a predicted model, not a curated record
CCCCUCCGACUGCUCUGCCCUCUCCAUCGCACCGCUUUGUCCUCUCAUUCCCCCCAGAUGGUCACCACCCAACGCUGGCAGGAAGAGGGUUGGGGGAGGCGAGGCGAGGCUCUGCGUGUCGUCGGCGGCGGAGGCUGCUUCCGCACCUAGACCGGCAGCAGAGGCGGACGUUUCACCGUCGAUCUCCCAUCCCAUGCAGUCGAUGGCGGAGUAUGCUUGCUCGCCCCCGAUGGGGGGAAACUGGGAGUUUAGAUCAGGAAGCAAAGGCACGGCACAUACUUUGACGACAGCGAAUUCAGCCUUCAGUCCGUGUGCAGCCUAACCAAUGUGCAUGGAAAGAAAAUUUGAUGCAGUUUCUAACAAGCCAUUGCCUGAACAGUCAGCUAUGCUAGUGGCAAAAGCUUUUCAGCCAAUCAAAAUCAUCGACUCGGUGAUUUUCUUUCUUUAGUACUCCCUCCGUUCCAUAUUAAUUGGCACGGAGGGAGCAUUAGCUAGCUAAUUUGAUCACUCCAUUUAUGACUAUUGAUCUUUGCCUUUUAUUGUUGCUAGACUGUGCAGUCAACCCCAAAGUCACCUGAAGUUGUGUACUGUGGACAAAGGGAUUUUAAUUCAGAAUGUAAUUCUUAUUUCAAGCGAAUAUCAUGAGGAAAUCGACGAUCUUAUUGUGAGCCCCCUGGCCCUUUUCAUUAUGCCUACUUUUUCCACUAUAUCUUUUAGUAAUUCUGCAGUGCGUGGUGCAAGUUAUAUGUUGUUAACUUUAGAACCUUUAUAAAAUCUGCUACUCUAGUAAUCGGUGAGUGCUAUUUUUUGUACUAAGUAUGUAGGUGCAAUUUUUGCUCACACCUCCAUCUGUAUACUGUAAUCGAUAUAUGCGGGUUCUAAUUUCCAUCUUUUUUAUGUGCCCUUUCUGCAGUUAAAUUUGCAUUUUUGUAAACAUCGCAAUCACUACACGAGUCUGUUGCAAUUGCUUACACACACUCAUUCGAUUGCUUUCUAUAGCUUUGUGCAAUCCCAGUAGUUAUGCACUGCAAUUGCAAUAAAUUUGUAGGCUUCUUGACUUUUCCUUCUUUUUUUAAUCUGCCGGCUAGCACUAGCCUGUAGGCUAUAGCAGUGCAGACUCAUAUUCCAGUGGUGCUUUCAUUCAGUGCAUGUUUCUCUUGUUCAUCCGGAUAGCAAGAAUUAGGAAGCAAGAAUAAGGGAGUGGGGCGGUGGGGGGCGGGGAGGAAGCAGGUUGUACCUUUGAUGGCUGGUGAUCUUGUGAGUUUUCUCACAAAUUCACGUCACUGUACCUAUACAAAACAAUGAGAAUGACUGUGGUAUAUUCUGUAUGAAAUUUAUGGAGUUGUUCGGACGUCGGGUGCUGCUGCAUGGCAAGUUUUCUUAUAGGGACAUUAUAUUUUCCUGUCAAAAUUGCGAACGACAUGCUCUUUUCUAAGUUCAGCUUAGUUCAUACAGUUAAGGAAAUGAUUCUUCAGUUGUCUCAAUAGAUUGAUUUGUCCAAGAGGAGACAUAUUUGAACAGAAUCGUCUUCAUUUUGCCCUUGCCUUGUUAGCUUAUAUAAAAUUUGUUUUUAGAUUGCUCCAUAUUUGCUCUGUGGCAAUGCUUGUGAACUUUGUAAGGAUAAUGGAUCUAUGAAUGGCUUGUGUGCCAUGCCUCUGUGUCAAAUUGCAUUGUAUUUGAUUUUCAAUUGCAGUGUCUUAGCUUUUGCAAUCCCAAGAUAAGCAAGCUGCUUUUCGUA